AGAGUUUGAUUCUGGCUCAGAACGAACGUUGGCAGCGUGGUUUAGGCAUGCAAGUCGAACGGGAAGCCGGUGAUCAAUCCUUCGGGAGAGUGAAUCGGUGGAGAGUGGCGAAAGGGUGAGUAACGCGUGGGUAAUCUACCCACAAGUUGGGGAUAACGGCUGGAAACGGCCGCUAAUACCGAAUGUGGUCCCCUGGCGCAUGUCAGGGUGAUCAAAGAUGGGGAUCCUUCGGGACCUGUCGCUUGUGGAGGAGCCCGCUCCGAUUAGCUUGUUGGUAGGGUAAAAGCCUACCAAGGCGACGAUCGGUAGCUGGUCUGAGAGGAUGGUCAGCCACACUGGGACUGAGACACUGCCCAGACUCCUACGGGAGGCUGCAGUCGAGAAUCAUUCGCAAUGCGCGAAAGCGUGACGAUGCGACGCUGCGUGGAGGAUGAAGGCCUUCGGGUUGUAAACUCCUGUCAUGAGGGAGCAGUACUUGCCCGCCGAAUAAGCGGGUGGGGGCGAUAGUACCUCAAGAGGAAGUCACGGCUAACUCUGUGCCAGCAGCCGCGGUAAUACAGAGGUGGCGAACGUUGUUCGGAUUUACUGGGCGUAAAGGGUGCGUAGGUGGGGUCGUAUGUCGGGUGUGAAAUCCCGCGGCUUAACCGCGGAACUGCAUUCGAAACUGCGACUCUUGGGUCCACCAGGGGAGAGCGGAAUUCUUGGUGUAGCGGUGAAAUGCGUUGAUAUCAAGAAGAACACCGGUGGCGAAGGCGGCUCUCUGGGAUGCGACUGACACUGAGGCACGAAAGCUAGGGGAGCGAACAGGAUUAGAUACCCUGGUAGUCCUAGCCGUAAACGGUGUGCACUUGGUGUGGGAGGAUUUGACCCCUUCCGUGCCGGAGCUAACGCGUUAAGUGCACCGCCUGGGGAGUACGGCCGCAAGGUUAAAACUCAAAGAAAUUGACGGGGGCCCGCACAAGCGGAGGAGCAUGUGGCUUAAUUCGAUGCAACGCGAAGAACCUUACCAGGGCUUGACAUGCAGCUGCACGUCCGCUGAAAGGCGGAAAGCUUUCGAAGGUGCUGCACAGGUGCUGCAUGGCUGUCGUCAGUUCGUGCCGUGAGGUGUUGGGUUAAGUCCCGCAACGAACGCAACCCUUGUGUCCAGUUGCCAGCGGAUAACGCCGGGGACUCUGGACAGACUGCCUGUACAAGCAGGAGGAAGGUGGGGAUGACGUCAAGUCAGUAUGGCCCUUACGCCCUGGGCUGCACACGUGCUACAAUGGUCGGUACAGAGGGACGCAAUGCCGCGAGGUGGAGCAAAUCCCCAAAACCGGCCCCAGUUCGGAUUGGAGUCUGCAACUCGACUCCAUGAAGUCGGAUUCGCUAGUAAAGGCGUAUCAGCUACGACGCCUUGAAUACGUUCCCGGGCCUUGUACACACCGCCCGUCACAUCAUGAAAGCCGUCUGCACCCAAAGUCGCUGAUCCAACCCGCAAGGGAGGUAGGUGCCGAAGGUGUGGGUGGUGAUUGGGAUGAAGUC
RNAcentral lists this ribosomal RNA (1521 nucleotides) under metagenome. Its description in RNAcentral is "bacterial SSU rRNA". It matches the Rfam family "Bacterial small subunit ribosomal RNA". The record is from RNAcentral.